AACGAACGCUGGCGGCAUGCCUAACACAUGCAAGUCGAACGAGACCUUCGGGUCUAGUGGCGCACGGGUGCGUAACGCGUGGGAACCUGCCCUUAGGUUCGGAAUACCUCCCCGAAAGGGGUGCUAAUACCGGUUAAUGUCUUCGGACCAAAGAUGUAUCGCCUUUGGGUGGGCCCGCGUUGGAUUCGCUAGUUGGUAGGGUAAAAGCCUACCAAGGCGACGAUGCAUAGCUGGUCUGAGAGGAUGAUCGGCUACAAUGGGAAUGAGACACGGCCCAGACUCCUACGGAAGGCAGCAGUGGGGAAUAUUGGAGGAGGGGGGAAAGUCUGAUCAAGCAAUGCCGCGUGAGUGAUGAAGGCCGUAGGGUUGUAAAGCUCUUUUACCCGGGAUGAUAAUGACAGUACCGGGAGAAUAAGCACCGGCUAACUCCGUG
RNAcentral lists this ribosomal RNA (433 nucleotides) under uncultured bacterium. RNAcentral describes it as "partial 16S ribosomal RNA". It matches the Rfam family "Bacterial small subunit ribosomal RNA", at positions 29 to 507 of the family's 1533-position model. The record is from RNAcentral.